RNAcentral lists this ribosomal RNA (253 nucleotides) under uncultured bacterium. Its description in RNAcentral is "partial 16S ribosomal RNA". It matches the Rfam family "Bacterial small subunit ribosomal RNA", at positions 524 to 776 of the family's 1533-position model. The record is from RNAcentral.
UACGUAGGGGGCUAGCGUUGUCCGGAAUCAUUGGGCGUAAAGAGCGUGUAGGCGGUCCGGUAAGUCCGCUGUGAAAGUCGGGGGCUCAACCCUCGAAUGCCGAUGGAUACUGUCGGGCUAGAGUGCGGAAGAGGCGAGUGGAAUUCCUGGUGUAGCGGUGAAAUGCGCAGAUAUCAGGAGGAACACCUAUUGCGAAGGCAGCUCGCUGGGACGUAACUGACGCUGAGACGCGAAAGCGUGGGGAGCAAACAGG